GCGAGGCCGAAAGGCGUAGUCGAUGGGAAACAGGUUAAUAUUCCUGUACUUGGUGUUACUGCGAAGGGGGGACGGAGAAGGCUAUGUUAGCCGGGCGACGGUUGUCCCGGUUUAAGCAUGUAGGCUGGUUGUCCAGGCAAAUCCGGAUAAUCAAGGCUGAGGUGUGAUGACGAGGCACUACGGUGCUGAAGUAACAAAUGCCCUGCUUCCAGGAAAAGCCUCUAAGCAUCAGGUAACAUUAAAUCGUACCCCAAACCGACACAGGUGGUCAGGUAGAGAAUACCAAGGCGCUUGAGAGAACUCGGGUGAAGGAACUAGGCAAAAUGGUGCCGUAACUUCGGGAGAAGGCACGCUGGUGUGUAGGUGA
This 367-nucleotide ribosomal RNA is filed under the name Klebsiella pneumoniae. Its description in RNAcentral is "bacterial LSU rRNA". It matches the Rfam family "Bacterial large subunit ribosomal RNA", at positions 1396 to 1765 of the family's 2925-position model. The record is from RNAcentral. Lineage: Bacteria; Pseudomonadati; Pseudomonadota; Gammaproteobacteria; Enterobacterales; Enterobacteriaceae.